UGGGGAAUAUUGCACAAUGGGCGAAAGCCUGAUGCAGCAACGCCGCGUGAGUGAUGAAGGCCUUCGGGUUGUAAAGCUCUGUCUUCUGGGACGAUAAUGACGGUACCAGAGGAGGAAGCCAUGGCUAACUACAUGCCAGCAGCCGCGGUAAUACGUAGGUGGCAAGCGUUGUCCGGAUUUACUGGGCGUAAAGGAUGCGUAGGCGGAUACUUAAGUCAGAUGUGAAAAUCCCGGGCUUAACUUGGGAACUGCAUUUGAAACUGGGUAUCUAGAGUGCGGGAGAGGAAAGUGGAAUUCCUAGUGUAGCGGUGAAAUGCGUAGAGAUUAGGAAGAACACCAGUGGCGAAGGCGACUUUCUGGACCGUAACUGACGCUGAGGCAUGAAAGCGUGGGGAGCAAACA
Molecule: ribosomal RNA, 402 nt
Filed under: uncultured bacterium
Lineage: Bacteria
Description: bacterial SSU rRNA
Rfam family: Bacterial small subunit ribosomal RNA
Source: RNAcentral